RNAcentral lists this microRNA precursor (79 nucleotides) under Hippoglossus hippoglossus (Atlantic halibut). RNAcentral's name for it is "mir-96 microRNA precursor family". It matches the Rfam family "mir-96 microRNA precursor family". The record is from Rfam by way of RNAcentral. Lineage: Eukaryota; Metazoa; Chordata; Actinopteri; Pleuronectiformes; Pleuronectidae.
UGCCCAUUUUGGCACUAGCACUAUUUUUGCUUUUGUUCUCGUACUUUGAGCAAUCAUGUGUACGUGCCAAUAUCGGACG